AACGUAGGAGACAAACGUUAUCCGGAGUUACUGGGCGUAAAGGGCGUGUAGGUGGUUCUGUAAGUCUGGCGUGAAAUUUCUCGGCUUAACCGAGGCAGGUCGUCGGAUACUGCAGGGCUAGAGGACGGUAGAGGCGUGUGGAAUUCCGGGUGUAGUGGUGAAAUGCGUAGAGAUCGGGAGGAACACCUGUGGCGAAGGCGGCCGACUGGGCCGACCCUGACGCUGAGGCGCGAAAGCGUGGGGAGCAAACAGG
Molecule: ribosomal RNA, 253 nt
Filed under: uncultured bacterium
Lineage: Bacteria
Description: partial 16S ribosomal RNA
Rfam family: Bacterial small subunit ribosomal RNA
Source: RNAcentral